GUUGGGUGCAAUUUGGCACGCAGUAUCGAAGCUAACGCGUUAAGUUCGCCGCCUGGGGAGUACGGUCGCAAGACUGAAACUCAAAGGAAUUGACGGGGGCCCGCACAAGCGGUGGAGUAUGUGGUUUAAUUCGAUGCAACGCGAAGAACCUUACCUGGCCUUGACAUGUCGAGAACUUUCCAGAGAUGGAUUGGUGCCUUCGGGAACUCGAACACAGGUGCUGCAUGGCUGUCGUCAGCUCGUGUCGUGAGAUGUUGGGUUAAGUCCCGCAACGAGCGCAACCCGUCCUUAGUUGCCAGCACGUAAUGGUGGGAACUCUAAGGAGACCGCCGGUGACAAACCGGAGGAAGGUGGGGAUGACGUCAAGUCCUCAUGGCCCUUACGCG
RNAcentral lists this ribosomal RNA (386 nucleotides) under uncultured Stenotrophomonas sp. RNAcentral describes it as "bacterial SSU rRNA". It matches the Rfam family "Bacterial small subunit ribosomal RNA", at positions 822 to 1208 of the family's 1533-position model. Lineage: Bacteria; Pseudomonadati; Pseudomonadota; Gammaproteobacteria; Lysobacterales; Lysobacteraceae. The record is from RNAcentral.